RNAcentral lists this unclassified non-coding RNA (344 nucleotides) under Roholtiella mojaviensis WJT36-NPBG5B. RNAcentral describes it as "16S-23S ribosomal RNA intergenic spacer". Lineage: Bacteria; Bacillati; Cyanobacteriota; Cyanophyceae; Nostocales; Fortieaceae. The record is from RNAcentral.
UUUAGGGAGACCUAAUCCACUCAAAUAUCGAAGAACAAUCAGUUAAAUAGAUAUUGAGUUGGUCUAUCCUAGGUCGGUCGAGAUUGGUAAAAGCUUUCAAAGUAUUUUGAGUUCGGUUUAACAAUCAUAAAAACUACUGGGAAUAGUGUUCAGCAACAUGGCAAUUGCCAGACUGCUGGGUAAUAUCCAGCCAGAACCUUGAAAACUGCAUAGUAACGCGAAAAAAGCAGGCAGACGAAUCUAAGUGAUGAGUGCCCAGUGGUGAGUGCUGAUUUUAAUCAGUGUGAAUCACAAAGUAAACAGAACUUUGAAUAAGUUUGCAGUGGUGAAACCAAUUGUUUAGU